This is a transfer RNA of Batrachochytrium dendrobatidis JAM81, 73 nucleotides long. It matches the Rfam family "tRNA". From Rfam's summary of the family: Transfer RNA (tRNA) molecules are approximately 80 nucleotides in length. Their secondary structure includes four short double-helical elements and three loops (D, anti-codon, and T loops). Further hydrogen bonds mediate the characteristic L-shaped molecular structure. tRNAs have two regions of fundamental functional importance: the anti-codon, which is responsible for specific mRNA codon recognition, and the 3' end, to which the tRNAs corresponding amino acid is attached (by aminoacyl-tRNA synthetases). tRNAs cope with the degeneracy of the genetic code in two manners: having more than one tRNA (with a specific anti-codon) for a particular amino acid; and 'wobble' base-pairing, i.e. permitting non-standard base-pairing at the 3rd anti-codon position. NCBI's taxonomy places the organism in Eukaryota, Fungi, Chytridiomycota, Chytridiomycetes, Rhizophydiales. The record is from Rfam.
GCUUCGAUGGCGCAGUUGGCAGCGCGUGAGUCUCAUAAUCUCGAGGUCGUGAGUUCAAGCCUCACUCGGAGCA